RNAcentral lists this ribosomal RNA (680 nucleotides) under Spirogyra sp. 3 AS-2014. RNAcentral's name for it is "SSU rRNA". It matches the Rfam family "Eukaryotic small subunit ribosomal RNA", at positions 591 to 1279 of the family's 1831-position model. The record is from RNAcentral. Lineage: Eukaryota; Viridiplantae; Streptophyta; Zygnematophyceae; Spirogyrales; Spirogyraceae.
CCAAUAGCGUAUAUUUAAGUUGUUGCAGUUAAAAAGCUCGUAGUUGGAUUUCGGGAGUGAGGCGUCGGUCUUCCCUUACCGGUCGAUACUGACCCUCUUCCUUAUCUGCCUUGGGCGUCGCCUAGUCUUCGUUGCCUGGGCGCGCUACACGGUGCCGUUACCUUGAAUAAAUUAUGGUGUUCAAAGCAGGCUUAUGCUCUGAGUACAUUAGCAUGGAAUAACAGCAUAGGACUCCGGUCCUAUUGCGUUGGUCUUCUGACCGGAGUAAUGAUUAAUAGGGACAGUCGGGGGCAUUCGUACUUCAGUGUUAGAGGUGAAAUUCUUGGAUCACUGAAAGACGAACUUCUGCGAAAGCAUUUGCCAAGGAUGUUUUCAUUAAUCAAGAACGAAAGUUGGGGGCGCGAAGACGAUUAGAUACCGUCCUAGUCCCAACCGUAAACGAUGCCGACCCCGAAUUGGCGCACGUAAGACUUGACGUCGCCAGCGCCCGAGGAGAAAUCAGAGUCUUUGGGUUCCGGGGGGAGUAUGGUCGCAAGUCUGAAACUUAAAGGAAUUGACGGAAGGGCACCACCAGGUGUGGAGCGUGCGGCUUAAUUUGACUCAACGCGGGGAAUCUUACCAGGUCCGGACAUAGCGACGAUUGACAGACUGAUAGCUCUUUCUUGAUCAUAUGGGUAGUG